AUGAGGACCCUAUGUCGGAACUGCCGCAGGAUUGGCGACCCCGCAACAGUUAAGGAGCUUCGCGAUCUUGUGGAGGCGUGUGCGCCGAUGGUCCUUUGCAUCGUGGAGACACAGCUUGCGAAGUACCGGGUGGAGGGCUUGGCGGGUAGCUUAGGUUUUUCGAGUAGUUUUGGAGUAGCUAGUAGUGGUAGAAGUGGUGGUUUAUGCUUGUUUUGGAAGAACCCUGUUGAUAUUGAAAUAAAGAGUUUUUCACAGUACCAUAUUGAUUCAGUUGUGAGUGAGAAGAGCAAGACACCAUGGCGUCUUUCGUGUUUCUAUGGUGCAACAAAUCGAAGUAUGAGAUAUAAAACUUGGGAUACGAUGAAGUUUCUGCGUGGCGAAAGUACUCUACCAUGGGUCUGUAUGGGUGACUUCAAUGAAAUUUUGCGCCUGGAGGAACAAAUGGGACCCAAUGAGCGCGACAGUGCGCAAAUUGUAGAAUUCAGAGAAGCGGUGGAUGUAUGUGAGUUGGCGGAUCUUGGAACAAGGGGCUGGGCUGGACAUUUGAAAAAAGAAUCGUGGGAGGAGAUUACUGUCGGGUGCGUCUGGAUCGGGCUCUAG
Molecule: ribosomal RNA, 600 nt
Filed under: Triticum aestivum (bread wheat)
Lineage: Eukaryota; Viridiplantae; Streptophyta; Magnoliopsida; Poales; Poaceae
Description: partial small subunit ribosomal RNA
Source: RNAcentral